RNAcentral lists this ribosomal RNA (445 nucleotides) under uncultured bacterium. Its description in RNAcentral is "partial 16S ribosomal RNA". It matches the Rfam family "Bacterial small subunit ribosomal RNA", at positions 330 to 792 of the family's 1533-position model. The record is from RNAcentral.
UCCAGACUCCUACGGGAGGCAGCAGUGGGGGAUAUUGCACAAUGGGGGGAACCCUGAUGCAGCGACGCCGCGUGGGUGAAGAAGCGCCUCGGCGCGUAAAGCUCUCUCAGCAGGGAAGAAAAUGACGGUACCUGACUAAGAAGCCCCGGCUAACUACGUGCCAGCAGCCGCGGUAAUACGUAGGGGGCAAGCGUUAUCCGGAUUUACUGGGUGUAAAGGGAGCGUAGACGGCGGUGCAAGCCAGAUGUGAAAGCCCGGGGCUCAACCCCGGGACUGCAUUUGGAACUGUGCUGCUAGAGUGUCGGAGAGGCAGGCGGAAUUCCUAGUGUAGCGGUGAAAUGCGUAGAUAUUAGGAGGAACACCAGUGGCGAAGGCGGCUUACUGGACUGUAACUGACGUUGAGGCUCGAAAGCGUGGGGAGCAAACAGGAUUAGAUACCCCAGUA